UGUUGAUCUUUCAGGUCUUUGCCUUAAUAGUUGCUGUUUGCACAGAGUUCGGCUACCAGGAAUGUUUACUGAGCAUUUGUUGGCCAGCUGUCCAACCCCUUCCAUCCUGCCCCUCUAAAGAGGGUUUCAUCAGAUCCCAUUAAAACCCAGGAGCUUAUUUUAAGACUGUAGACCCUACGAGGCCUCUGGAGUAUUUGUGCUUCUUAUCCUCGUGCAUCAUUUUUUCCACAUUCGCUGCAAUACUCCUUGUUAAGCUUCUAAAAGGCUUUCAGAUGAACCAUAUGGAGAACUAUAUAGGACACGGGUGCCAAGGAGGCGAAAGAAAACAUCCCAAGAAAAGGCAAAAAGUUUAGCAACUCACCAGCAGUGAUGUUUUUGUGGCCUCCUCUACUACUCCAUUUUCCUCUGGAAUAAGGAGUGGUAACUGUAAGGGGAAGAGAAUACUGAACUGGGCAGACCCUGCGUUUCCAUUCUAUAAGGUAAAGAAACCCAGAGCGAAUAACCCUUCUUAAAAAAAUGCUGUCUACCACCACCUAGUGGAA
This 542-nucleotide long non-coding RNA is filed under the name Calidris pygmaea (Spoon-billed sandpiper). RNAcentral's name for it is "lncRNA (ENSCPGG00000014174.1)". The record is from RNAcentral. Lineage: Eukaryota; Metazoa; Chordata; Aves; Charadriiformes; Scolopacidae.